Molecule: ribosomal RNA, 274 nt
Filed under: uncultured bacterium
Lineage: Bacteria
Description: partial 16S ribosomal RNA
Rfam family: Bacterial small subunit ribosomal RNA
Source: RNAcentral
AUACGGAGGAUCCAAGCGUUAUCCGGAUUUAUUGGGUUUAAAGGGUGCGCAGGCGGCCUUAUAAGUUAGUGGUGAAAUCUCCCGGCUCAACCGGGAAACUGCCAUUGAUACUGUAAGGCUAGAAUACAGACGAGGUAGGCGGAAUGUAGCAUGUAGCGGUGAAAUGCUUAGAUAUGCUACAGAACACCGAUCGCGAAGGCAGCUUACCAGACUGUAAUUGACGCUAAGGCACGAAAGCGUGGGGAGCGAACAGGAUUAGAAACCCCAGUAGUCC